AUUGAACGCUGGCGGCAGGCCUAACACAUGCAAGUCGAGCGGAUGAAGGGAGCUUGCUCCUGGAUUCAGCGGCGGACGGGUGAGUAAUGCCUAGGAAUCUGCCUGGUCGUGGGGGAUAACGUCCGUAAACGGGCGCUAAUACCGCAUACGUCCUGAGGGAGAAAGUGGGGGAUCUUCGGACCUCACGCUAUCAGCUGAGCCUAGGUGGGAUGAGCUAGUUGGUAGGGUAAAGGCCUACAAAGGCGACGAUCCGUAACUGGUCUGAGAGGAUGAUCAGUCACACUGGAACUGAGACACGGUCCAGACUCCUACGGGAGGCAGCAGUAGGGAAUCUUGAGCAAUGGGCGAAAGCCUGACCGAGCAACGCCGCGUGAGUGAUGAAGGUCUUCGGAUUGUAAACCUCUGUUAUUAGGGAAGAAGAAAAGUGUAAGAAACUAUGCAUGUCUUGACGUUACCUAAACAGAAAGCCCCGGCUAACUACGUG
Molecule: ribosomal RNA, 484 nt
Filed under: uncultured bacterium
Lineage: Bacteria
Description: partial 16S ribosomal RNA
Rfam family: Bacterial small subunit ribosomal RNA
Source: RNAcentral